GACGAACGCUGGCGGCGUGCUUAACACAUGCAAGUCGAACGGAAAGGCCCGGCUUUUGCGGGGUGCUCGAGUGGCGAACGGGUGAGUAACACGUGAGUAACCUGCCCUUGACUUUGUGAUAACUUCAGGAAACUGGGGCUAAUACCGGAGAGGAGCUACUGCUGCAUGGGGGGGGUUGGAAAGUUUCGGCGGUAGUGGAUGGACUCGCGGCUUAUCAGCUGGUUGGGGAGGUAGUGGCUUACCAAGGCUAUGACGGGUAGCCGGCCUGAGAGGGGUACCGGCCACAUUGGGACUGAGAUACGGCGCAGUCUCCUAUGGGACGCAGCAGUGGAGAGUCUUGCACAAUGGGCCGAAGCCUGAUACAGCAGCGCCGCGUGCGGAAUGCUGUGUUUCGGGUUGUAAACCGAUUUCGCCUGUGACAAAGCGUUAGUGACGGUACUGGGUAAAGAAGCACCGGCUAACUACGUG
RNAcentral lists this ribosomal RNA (468 nucleotides) under uncultured bacterium. RNAcentral's name for it is "partial 16S ribosomal RNA". It matches the Rfam family "Bacterial small subunit ribosomal RNA", at positions 28 to 507 of the family's 1533-position model. The record is from RNAcentral.